This 657-nucleotide ribosomal RNA is filed under the name Triticum aestivum (bread wheat). RNAcentral's name for it is "partial small subunit ribosomal RNA". Lineage: Eukaryota; Viridiplantae; Streptophyta; Magnoliopsida; Poales; Poaceae. The record is from RNAcentral.
AUGAACCCCUCCUCGGCCCCGGGUCCGGAUGGAUUACUAGUAACGUUUUUCAAAACGUUCUGGCAAACCAUCAAACCGGAGGUCAUGGCCCUCUUCGACGAAUUCUUCUCGGGGACCAUGGACCUUGGGCGCCUAAACUAUGGGGUCAUCACGCUCAUCCCCAAAGUUUCGGGCGCCUCUGACAUCCGCCAGUUCCGCCCUAUCACUGUGAUCAAUGUGAUAUUCCGGAUUCUGGGUAAAGGGUACGCCAAUAGGGUGACCCUUCUUGCUGACUCCAUCACCCACCCCAGCCAAUCCGCCUUCAUCCAAGGCCGAUAUAUUUUGGAUGGGGUUUUGGUCUUCCACGAAGUUCUUCAUGAAGUCCGGUCCAAGCACCAUCGUGCGGUCUUCCUGAAGCUUGACUUCCAUAAAGCCUAUGAUACGGUUCACUGGCCCUUCCUUCGAGAAGUAUUGCUCCGUAAGGGUUUCGAUGACCGGUGGGUGACCAGAGUUAUGCAGCUCGUCUCCUGCGGUCGGACCGCGGUUAACAUUAACGGUGAGAUCGGGUCAUACUUCCCCACUCUCUGUGGGGUUCGCCAGGGUGACCCGUUCUCCCCGUUUCUGUUCAACAUGGUGGUCGAUGCCCUUGCUGUCAUCCUGGAUAAGGCCAAAACAUAA